RNAcentral lists this unclassified non-coding RNA (404 nucleotides) under soil metagenome. Its description in RNAcentral is "partial contains 5.8S ribosomal RNA, internal transcribed spacer 2, and large subunit ribosomal RNA". The stretch from base 1 to 122 matches the Rfam family "5.8S ribosomal RNA", at positions 35 to 154 of the family's 154-position model. The record is from RNAcentral.
GAUGAAGAACGUAGCAAAAUGCGAUACUUGGUGUGAAUUGCAGAAUCCCGUGAACCAUCGAGUUUUUGAACGCAAGUUGCGCCCGAAGCCUUUUGGCCGAGGGCACGUCUGCCUGGGCGUCACGCAUCGCGUCGCCCCCCACAAUUCUCCGUAAAGGGAACGUGUGUUUUGGGGGCGGAUAUUGGUCUCCCGUGCUCAUGGCGUGGUUGGCCGAAAUAGGAGUCCUUUCGAUGGACGCACGAACUAGUGGUGGUCGUAAAAACCCUCGUCUUUUGUUUCGUGCUGUUGCUCGCAAGGUAAACUCUUUAAAAACCCCAAUGUGUCGUCUCUUGACGACGCUUCGACCGCGACCCCAGGUCUGGCGGGACUACCCGCUGAGUUUAAGCAUAUCAAUAAGCGGAGGA